UGGGUUGGCCAAAAAGUUUGUUCAGGUUUUUCUAUGUUAUGGAAAAACCCAAACAAACACUUUUGCCAGCAACGCAAUAU
This 80-nucleotide microRNA precursor is filed under the name Ovis aries (sheep). RNAcentral's name for it is "miRNA (ENSOARG00000022855.1)". The record is from RNAcentral. Lineage: Eukaryota; Metazoa; Chordata; Mammalia; Artiodactyla; Bovidae.